RNA transcript from Armigeres subalbatus, 2361 nucleotides. RefSeq lists it as uncharacterized. The transcript is spliced from 5 exons. The record is from RefSeq and is a predicted model, not a curated record. Lineage: Eukaryota; Metazoa; Arthropoda; Insecta; Diptera; Culicidae.
GCGAUCUCGCCAGUUUCGUUUCAACCCGUUUCCAAGACGGACGCGAUCUUACCGUCGUUGCUUCACGCGAAUCACCUUCCCGUAACGGACAAGGAAAACCACUUCAUCCCGCCAAGUUGCAGUCUUCCUUGUACGAUAAUCACUACUGUCUGAGAGGACCAACGGCUGGUAGAAAACCAGCAGACAAUAGACCGCGCUCGGUGGGAAAAACAAGCUUCAAGUUCAGUCAGACAUAUUUUCCCACCGCGAGAUUGGGCAGACGAAACGAAAGCAACCAUGAGCAGCAAAUCGGUGAUCGUGUUCUGCGCCGUGGCGUUGCUGGCGUUGACCAGCGUUGCUGCCAAAGAGAAGCAUAUCAAGUACAAGGAGAAGGACCUGAUGCGAAAGUCGAUCGUGUACGACAAAAAUACACCGGACGUGUUUUACUGCCCGAUGAACAAGCCCACCGGAAUGGACAAGAUGAUUGUGAGGUCUCGUCCACUCCACAAGCUGUGUGAAUUUGAGGGUAAGCCCCUGCCACCGGACUACAAAUCGGACUGCUAUAAGGAUUUGGACGAGAGUGACUACGCCUGCAAAGAGAAAUACCGAAUCAUGAAACGUUACGCCAAAGAUAAUACCGAGAUCUAAUACUCAAAUCGCAUUUAUCUUGCCUAAAUAAUGAAUACAAACAAUCACACUCGCCACACUGUACACCACAUCAACCGCCACGCCAUGAAGAGCACACGCGAACUAUCGCGAAAUCUUAAAACUGUUAUUUCCAUUUCUUUCAAUAAUUCUCUGUCAAGACUGAAACUGACUGUCGACUAGAAAUCUGUUCUCCCUACUCGAAUCUAACUUCUAAGUCCUUUUCUUUGUGAUUUCAGUUCCUUUCUUCCAUAACGCCGUUCAUUAAUGCCAAAAAGGCUUAAUUAAUCGAUGCUUUAAUAUCGGAAACUCAAUUAAACAAAUAAUAACCAACCAUGGUUCCAAUAGCCGGUUACCGAAUAUAACCAGAAUGAUUGAAGCAAUUGUAAUACUUCCUGAAUACCAGUCGCAAUUUAUUAAACAUAUUAGAAAACCAUAGCUUUACAUAUUCAACAAUGCAAGAAUGGAUGAAUUCAUUAGAAUUUAUCCAAAUUCAAGCUUUGCUAAGAUAUGUUUUUUUUUCUGUUGUGACGGUUGAAUCCUCGGUAUGACCAACUGUGUUCGUACAGAGGUUUUGACAGUUCACAAAAUAUUGUUAGUGCUCCCGUAAACAAUAAAAUAACUAUCCUUAAACACAUAACAACUUACAUGGCAUAACAUUUAAUCUCAUUUUCUUUUAAAAAAAAUCCAACUUCUUAUAAGUACAAAUCAAAGAUAACACAUUGCGAAGAUAUGAUUUCACUUCAAUAACUUUAAAUUUGUACAAAAGCAUUAGUCCUCUAAAUAUAACGUCUUUUAAAAUAAUAUUAUUCAACGACUACUAUGCAAAACAUCAACAAGACAAUGUUUACCACCGUGGCAGUGUUGCCAACAAUUGAGCCGAAAAUUUUACACAUUUAACAUAAUUUACCUGGUGUUUUCGGGACGAUAACAUUAAUACUAAUAUUUAUAAUUCUCCCUUGAUUAUUUCUUUCUGAGAAAUGGAUUACUAAAAUGCUAACAGGUCCGCAUUGGAAAACAAAAAACUAUCAUCAAAUAAUUACACAAACAAAUGACACUCUCCAACAGCUAAAGACUACCACGACGCAAGACGUCAUUUACUUUGUACAGUACGAUAAGACCAUCUGACUAAAACCCAAUUUACCGCAUUAUCUGUAAACACAAACACACCCAAACGCAAGCACGAAGCAUUCAUUUCGAACAUGGGAUCGCAAUUAGCAGCAGAUGCGCAUGCACCCGCCCGGCAGUGAUGCACCCUUCAACGGAUCCCGGCUGAGUCGGUUCAUGGAUAUGGACGACGACAUGAAGCGAGUGAAGAACAGGAAGCAGAACUAGGAAGUUGGGCGGAAGCAGAACUAGGAAGUUGAAUGAAAAAUUGAAAAAAUGAGUCAUUAGAUUUACUGAACCACUUUAGGAAACAAUAGGAAUGAUCAUCAUCGAAAUCAUUGUAAAUAAUCCAACUGCCAUAAAUAGGAACUGAACGACUGACGUACCCGCACGAUCGUUUGACAUGUGAUAAGAAAAAAAUCAAUUUCGACCAAACAGGACAUUUUCCAAGACAAGAUAAAAAAUACUUCCAGCACAGGUAUACGAAAUUAGACACUUAGGGAAGAGAUAAUCAAUUAAUAGAAUUGUGCUAAUUAACUACAAAAAGAAAGACGUCCCAAGACAAACCAGGUGUUAAUUUAGAACAAACAUACACAACCGAUAAAAAAUGUAUCCUAAUUAUUAACGUAA